GUGGCGGUGGUUCAGUGAUAGAAUUCUUGCCUUCCAUGCAGGAGACCUGGGUUCAAUUCUCAGCCAGCAGA
Molecule: transfer RNA, 71 nt
Filed under: Loxodonta africana (African savanna elephant)
Lineage: Eukaryota; Metazoa; Chordata; Mammalia; Proboscidea; Elephantidae
Rfam family: tRNA
About the family: Transfer RNA (tRNA) molecules are approximately 80 nucleotides in length. Their secondary structure includes four short double-helical elements and three loops (D, anti-codon, and T loops). Further hydrogen bonds mediate the characteristic L-shaped molecular structure. tRNAs have two regions of fundamental functional importance: the anti-codon, which is responsible for specific mRNA codon recognition, and the 3' end, to which the tRNAs corresponding amino acid is attached (by aminoacyl-tRNA synthetases). tRNAs cope with the degeneracy of the genetic code in two manners: having more than one tRNA (with a specific anti-codon) for a particular amino acid; and 'wobble' base-pairing, i.e. permitting non-standard base-pairing at the 3rd anti-codon position.
Source: Rfam by way of RNAcentral